GACGAACGCUGGCGGCGUGCUUAACACAUGCAAGUCGAACGGAAAGGCCCUGCUUUUGUGGGGUGCUCGAGUGGCGAACGGGUGAGUAACACGUGAGUAACCUGCCCUUGACUUUGGGAUAACUUCAGGAAACUGGGGCUAAUACCGGAUAGGAGCUCCUGCUGCAUGGUGGGGGUUGGAAAGUUUCGGCGGGUGGGGAUGGACUGGCGGCUUAUCAGCUUGUUGGUGGGGUAGUGGCUUACCAAGGCUUUGACGGGUAGCCGGCCUGAGAGGGUGACCGGCCACAUGGGGACUGAGAUACGGCCCAGAGUCCUACGGGAGGCAGCAGUGGGGAAUAUUGCACAAUGGGCGGAAGCCUGAUGCAGCAACGCCGCGUUCGUGAUGACGGCCUUCGGGUUGUAAACCGCUUUCGCCUGUGACGAAGCGUGAGUGACGGUAAUGGGUAAAGAAGCACCGGCUAACUACGUG
Molecule: ribosomal RNA, 468 nt
Filed under: uncultured bacterium
Lineage: Bacteria
Description: partial 16S ribosomal RNA
Rfam family: Bacterial small subunit ribosomal RNA
Source: RNAcentral